UGGGGGAUAUUGCACAAUGGAGGAAACUCUGAUGCAGCAACGCCGCGUGAGGGAAGAAGGUUUUCGGAUUGUAAACCUCUGUUUUCGGUGAAGAAUAAUGACGGUAACCGAAGAGUAAGUCACGGCUAACUACGUGCCAGCAGCCGCGGUAAUACGUAGGUGGCAAGCGUUGUCCGGAAUUACUGGGUGUAAAGGGUGCGCAGGCGGGACUGCAAGUUGGAUGUGAAAUUUCGAGGCUUAACCUCGAAACUGCAUCCAAAACUGUAGUUCUUGAGUGAAGUAGAGGUAGGUGGAAUUCCGAGUGUAGCGGUGAAAUGCGUAGAUAUUCGGAGGAACACCAGUGGCGAAGGCGACCUACUGGGCUUUAACUGACGCUGAGGCACGAAAGCAUGGGGAGCAAACAGG
RNAcentral lists this ribosomal RNA (405 nucleotides) under uncultured prokaryote. RNAcentral describes it as "bacterial SSU rRNA". It matches the Rfam family "Bacterial small subunit ribosomal RNA", at positions 355 to 776 of the family's 1533-position model. RNAcentral also lists the same sequence under 1 other name. The record is from RNAcentral.